Molecule: ribosomal RNA, 166 nt
Filed under: Lagotis brachystachya
Lineage: Eukaryota; Viridiplantae; Streptophyta; Magnoliopsida; Lamiales; Plantaginaceae
Also listed under: 20 other names
Description: 5.8S ribosomal RNA
Rfam family: 5.8S ribosomal RNA
About the family: 5.8S ribosomal RNA (5.8S rRNA) is a component of the large subunit of the eukaryotic ribosome. It is transcribed by RNA polymerase I as part of the 45S precursor that also contains 18S and 28S rRNA.
Source: RNAcentral
UCUAAACGACUCUCGGCAACGGAUAUCUCGGCUCUCGCAUCGAUGAAGAACGUAGCGAAAUGCGAUACUUGGUGUGAAUUGCAGAAUCCCGUGAACCAUCGAGUCUUUGAACGCAAGUUGCGCCCGAAGCCAUUCGGCCGAGGGCACGCCUGCCUGGGCGUCACGC